This is a long non-coding RNA of Macaca mulatta (Rhesus monkey), 3196 nucleotides long. NCBI's taxonomy places the organism in Eukaryota, Metazoa, Chordata, Mammalia, Primates, Cercopithecidae. The record is from Ensembl.
AUGCUCUCUUUGACUCCUCUCACUCACGGAUAUGUCUCAUUACUUUUCAGAAUGAUUCCUCUAAAUCUUGUUCACUUAUUUUAUUCCUUAUUUAGACCAGAUAUCUUCUGUUUGCCCUUCCAUAAAGACGUCCCACCCAUGUCCAUGUUGCUCUUCGCCAUCAAGACGAAGAGCCUGUGCUUGGAUCUGGCAUCUUAUGAUCUUCAGCAUCCACCUGUCUAUAGUGAUUUGUCCAGGCUUUCCUAAUGCAUUAGUGCUUGAGUCCUUUCUCCAGGUUGACACAGCAAUCCUUCAUAUCACCUAGGGACAAGUUGGUAAGUGUUCUAAGACAAAUGCUUUGAGACUAUCCCAAGGUGCUUUUGUUUAACAGAGAGCAGAUUCAAGAGCUGUAUAAUUGCUUAACAUAAGUUUUUAGGGAGUAGAAACACUGCCUAAGUUUCCAGGCUCCUGAUUCUUAAGUAGGUAACCCAGACUUCCCCCCACUUUUGACUGAAGCCAUCCUAAUUAUUAUGAGAUGAACCUAAGACAAUUUGAAGCCUAUAAGCUAAUUUUUCAGAGGAUAACAUGGUUUGGAGUGAAAUAAUAAAAAUUCCUUAGUUAAUUUAACAUUAACAAAAUGGUAAAGCAAUUCUUCAUUUAGUACCAAUAAACGCAACACAAUUAAUAAUGGAGAAAGAAAUUAAGUUAAUAUGGAAAGUAUACAUUGUGAAAGUAGGUAUUGUUGAUUCCAAAACUAAACUACGCUUUGUUAGCAUAGCUUGAAUUACCGUAUAUAAUUAUGCAUAGUGAUGGUGCUCUUAUUUAAUAUAGAAACUUCAUUAAUUAUAACAUCAUAUGCUCCAUAAUCUAAAUUGUAGUGGGUUUUAUAUAGUAAGAACCUAUGUGAUCUUUUUGAAUGAAUGCAGUUAUUUCUGAAUAUUUUGGCUAAAAUUUCAAGAAGUAGUCUAAAUUAAUGAGCCUUGGUUGUUUGAAGAAAUUAGGCUUGCCCAAGGCACAAUGGAAUAGAAAUAAAUGAUCAUUCUCCCUGAAAAAUUCAUUCUGCAUAUAUAUUAUAAUGAAAUCUCAGACUAAGACCCAAGUAAAGAAUUUUAUUGCCAGUCUAGUAGGUCCCAACUUGAGUUGGUUGUAUUCAACAGGAUGUACAAAUUCAUUAUUUCAAUAUUGUAUUAGUUAAAGCUCCAAAAUAUUUGGACAUAUCUUCAGAUCCUCAGGUGUUCAAUUCAGUUGGCUGGUUUUUUCUAUAAGCAUAUCAUUGUUUCUUUAAAUUAUUUAAUAUUAGAAAACACCAUUCACUCCAAGGAUUCUAGAGGCCUUGCUUAGUUAAAUAAUAACACACGAGUCAUAAUAGAUGUCAUGAUGUGGAUAGUUUGCUAUGAUCAACACUCAUCUUGGAUGCCAGCUACCCCAACUUAAGAAAUUCAUAGCAAAAGCACUAUAGCAGGACAAACGCAAGUUAAGAGAGACAAGAGAAAAAGCAAAGAAAAGGAAGGAAAAGAAGAAAAGAAAAAAUAAAUAAUUUUAUUAUCACCUUGCUCUAACUACAAAAUAUAUUAAAUAUAUACAUAUAUUUGUGGUAGACAUACUCAAAGGUGGUCCCCAAGAUCUCUAGCUCCUGGAAUUUAUGCCCUAUAACUUUUCUGCCUUUUUAACGUGGAUAGAACCUGUGACUUGCUUCUGAUCAAUAGAGUAUGGCAAAGAUAAUGGAUGUCACUGUCAUGUGAAUGUUUCAUAAAACCAUAAACCAUAUUUCUAGGGGACACUAGCCCUGGCAGUCUUUGAGGAAGCAAGUUGUUAUCAUGCUGGGAAGGCCCUCAUGACAAGAAGCUGAUGAAGGCUUCCAGCUGACAGCCAGCAAGAUACAGAGGUCCUGGGUCCAGUAGCCCAUAAGGGACUAAUGAACUAACAACCACACGAACACGAAAGCGAAUGUUUCCUCGACUGAGCUUCAGAUGAGACUGCAGGUCCUGCCAAUACUUCAACUGCAGCCUUGUGAGAUCCUGAAGCAGAGAUUCCAGCUAAGCUUUUCCAACGUCUGCCCAAAUAGUGAGACAAUACAUGUGUUUUUCUUUUUUUCAGUCACUAUUAUAGAACAAUAUACAAGAAAACAUUCAAUAUAUUUAUAUAAAUUUAUAUUUUAAGUAUAAAAUAUGUCAGACAUCAUAAUAGGUUGUUUAAUUACUACAAUAUUUAAUCUGAAAAAUAACCGAAAGUAUAUAACUCAAAGGAGAGGGAUUUAUGUUACUCAACACAAAUUUGAGUGUGUUCUUACAUUACUCUCUUCUUGUAUUUCUGGGAGAAGCCAAACUGGGUCAUGUAACUUUAAAUUUAGAAGAAUAAAUGUUUUGAUACAAUCGUAGCCUUGAUUUUUAAUACAGUGUUUAAUAAUUUUAUAGUUAUAUAGCUAAGUUGAUUUUAUUCGAAUGAGAAAAGCCAGAGAAUGACACAAGAUAAAGGAAAACGCAGAUGCGCUCUGUCACUUUUAUUUGAAAAUAUCUUCAUUUGGUAUUUAUUCUUCAAUAAUGUUGGGCAUAAAAUUCUAGAUUGAUUUUUUUUUCCUCAUAAUUUUAGGGAAACUUUUUGUCCCUUUUUUAUUUUUGCUUUGGAGAUAUCUUCUGUAUCAUUUCUGUAAUCUAGUUUACUUUCUCCCUUUAAAUAUUUAUUAUUUAUUUAUUUUAGUAUUCUACACUUUUCCUUAGGAGUAAAUUCAUUUUUAUUUACUAUCCUUGAGAUUCAUUAUGCUUUGUAAAUCUAAGAAUUUAGGCUUUUUAUUCAAUUCUAGAAUAGUGUAUGCCUUUUUCUAUAAAUAUUUGAAUACUGUUUUGCUUCCAUUAACUGCAUUCUCUUGUCAUAGAACCCUCAUUAGAUGCAUGUUAAGUUUUAUUACCAUGUCCUCCUCUCCACUUCUCUCAAAUUUUCUUAAGUAUUUAAUAUUUAAAAAUUCAUGUUUCUAAAUAAUUGCCUUAAAUAUAUCUUCUAUCUCAUCAAUGACUUUACAUAUUUUAUAUGUAAAUGUUUAAAUGUAUAUGUUUGCAUACAUAUGUCUAUAUACAUAUGUAUUUAUAGAAUUUUGUGUUUUUUUCUUCUCUUGUUGAUAUUUUCUCAUAGUGUUUGAUUCAUUUCUUAAUAUUUUUAGCUUUAACCUUUUUAUCCUAUUUUAACAGAUUGGUUAAUCAAAGUCACCUGAAUAACAUUGUUA